GCGCGAAAACUUUACAAUGCUGGCAACAGCGAUAAGGGAACCUCGAGUGCCAGGUUACAAAUCUGGCUGUCGAGAUGCCUAAAAAGCAUUUCAUAGCAAGGGCCGGGCAAGACCGGUGCCAGCCGCCGCGGUAACACCGGCGGCUCGAGUGGUAACCGUUAUUAUUGGGUCUAAAGGGUCUGUAGCCGGCCGGAUAAGUCUCUUGAGAAAUCUGGCAGGUUAACUGUCAGGCUUUCAGGAGAUACUGUCUGGCUCGAGGCCGGGAGAGGUGAGAGGUAAUUCAGGGGUAGGGGUGAAAUCUUGUAAUCCUUGAAGGACCACCAGUGGCGAAGGCGUCUCACCAGAACGGACCUGACGGCAAGGGACGAAAGCUAGGGGCACGAACC
Molecule: ribosomal RNA, 386 nt
Filed under: uncultured prokaryote
Description: bacterial SSU rRNA
Rfam family: Archaeal small subunit ribosomal RNA
Source: RNAcentral